RNAcentral lists this transfer RNA (62 nucleotides) under Chilocorus rubidus. RNAcentral's name for it is "tRNA-His". Lineage: Eukaryota; Metazoa; Arthropoda; Insecta; Coleoptera; Coccinellidae. The record is from RNAcentral.
AUUUAUGUAGUUUAAUUAAAAUAUUGAUUUGUGGAGUCAGAGAUAUUYAAAAAUCAUAAAUU